UAUAGGAUUACUUACUAUUCGUUUUCGUCGGACGUGUUUAGUCCCAGAAUGCACAACCACUUCGUCACGUUACUUACCGAGUAAUACUUCGCCGCUGGAAGUGAAUUCAGAAGACACAACCUCCCACCAAUGGUAUCUGGAUAUUCGCGCGAGAAAGAGGUAACUUUUACAUGAAUUUACCGACGCUCGUAUCGAAUUAUAGUUCGACAGUUCGUCAUUACUCCCUGCGCGUUGGCGUCGAGAGGAGAGAUGGACGAUGUAGGAGGGAUCUAGUUAUCAUUAUCAACAGUAUCCGGCCAGGAUAACAAUGGAAAGGUGUUCGUUAUAAACAAAGCAGAAUAUUUAUUUUCUAUUUAUGGAUCUAAGACUAAUUUUUAAACUAGGUAGCGCAGCACAGAGGAGUAAGUUACAUAAAGAUAUUAUAGAUAGAAUGCAGGGCCGGUUUUAACAAAAUUGGCGCCCCGAUCAAGAUUAUCGUGGCGCUCCUUCAGGGGUGUAUACAGGGUGUCCCAAAACCGUUGUAACACCUUGAAAGGAGUGGUUCAGGAGGUGAUUUCAAACAACUUUUUCCUUAGCGAAAAUGUUGUCCGAGACUUCGUUGAGGAGAUAUUAAGCAAAAACCCCGACCAAUCAGAGCGCGAGUAUGCCGGUUGAGCGUAGGCUACGCGAUAGGCGGCCACGCUCAUACGCUACCGCGGGCGCUCCAACGAUAUACGCACGCUCUGAUUGGUCGGGGUUUUCUGUUAAUAUCUCCUUGACCAAGCCCCAUCUGACAUUUUUGCAAAGGAAAAAGUUGUUUCAAAUCACCUCCUGAACCACCUCUUUCAAUGUGUUACAAUAUUUUUGGGACACCCUGUAUUAAUCUUUUCUACUUGUAUUACAUAAUUUCUGUUAGUAUUAGUAUUAUUUAAUAAUAAUAUUAUCAUCAUUUAUAUGUCUGUUAGCACCUCGGACAACAUUUUCGCUUAGGAAAAGUUGUUUCAAAUCACCUCCCGAAUCAUCCCUUUCAAAGUAUUACAACAUUUUUGGGACACCCUGUAUAUCGAUAUAUUCGUAUACCAGGGAUACCGGACUGCGACGCCCCCAAAAAUCUGGCGCCCCGUGCGGUUGCCCGACCGCGCCUCCUCCCCUAACACCGGCCCCGAUAGAGUGAAAGAGUCAGAUCUCUGGCUGUACUACAACUAAAAGAAAAAAGAAAAUCGCGAUACCCUGCCUGUCUCUAUUUACCAGCGCAUUUUUAUGUCAACGGUAAAUGGAUAUCGUUUGUACUUUUAAUUAUUAUAGAUACAUUUUACAUUCGCAUUAAUAAAAGCACGGAGAUAGAUAAAGUGGCGCAGUUUUUUCUCUCUUUUUUUUUUUAUUAAGCUUUGGACUCGAUAAUGAUCCAUAAACUGACAAUUACAAUUAAAGUAUAUUACAUUUUUAUUUACAUUUUACAUUACAAUACGGUUACAAAUCGUGUAUAGGAAAGUAGAGUUGUGGGUGUGUAGGUAUAGUGUUUGUUUAAUGGAGUUGUGAACUGAUGGGUAGAGUGAUUUCGAUUUUGGUAACGGUUAUAUGUUAAGGUUGUUGGUUUGCAGAAACUUAGUUAUUAUUUUCACUGCUGUGGUAUUGGGUCCUUGGAGAAAAGGUUCUAUGGAGUAUGGAGGUCUCCAUCCAUGUUGAGCCAGCGAGGUGAUCAUUUGUUGUCUGGUAUUCAAGUACUUGGGACAGUCUCAUAAUAUGUGGUUAAGCGUUUGUUUAGGAUGGCCGCACGAGCAUUUACUAUCCUUGAUAAUUCCUGUUCUUGCCAAGGACUCUGCUAGGUUGUAAUAGUUAGACCUAUGUCGUGUGACCCAGGAAGUGAUGUACCUGGAAAGUCUGCAGUUUUGGAACUAGGGAGUUUUGUACUUACAGGUAGGCUUAUGUCUCCCCUGCUCUAUCUAUAAUAUCUCUAUGAUAAACUGUCGUUUAAUUAAAUGAAUGAGAAUGGAGGUACAAAUGAGAGUUUUUAUUGUAGAAAAGCAUAUAUAUAUUAUUUUGUAUAUUACUAGAUUUAUCAAGAUUUAAUCAAGAUUUAAUGUAGAGAUAUAUUCACCUUGUGUCGUCUUAAAUAUUACAUUUACAUAUCUCAUUUGAUAAAUGUUCUCAUUUCUGUAUUUUACUUAAAAAAUAUUAUACAAAAUAUGCUACUUUAAUUUUCACGAGUUUCGUAAAUAUUUAGUUUGUAAACAAAGUCCUUUUAUAUAAUUUGUUACAUUUAAUGGAUGUUAUUAACGAAUCAAUCAUUUAAAAUUAAUAAAUGUAAUAUAAGUUUGAAAGAAUUACAAUAAACACAAUGCAUAUUUUCUUGUCUCUAUGUCUGGGGCACAGAAAUUUCAUAGGGAUGCUUCUCAAAAAGCUGAUCUAUAUAUUUAAGAGCAUAAGACAAAUUCUGUGAUAGUUAUAUUAACUGAAUACAUUUACAGUUCAUGACUUGUAUGUGGGUUAUAGCGUAAUGCUAUCAGAUACAUUGCUGAGAAGCCAGACAGUAAAGUUUUUGUUGGAAUUUCCUGAAAGCAAAUAUCUGUAUAAACGGGGUGUCCCUUUACAUUGCAAUAUUAGCAACCAAAUACUACACAGUAACUCUACUAAAAUUGAAGAUUGCCAAGGCCAAUGCAACAAUUCCCUUACGUCUACUAUCAAUACCACGCUUGACUAUAAAGGCAAUUCAGACUUCGUCUAUAUUAGUGAUUCAGGAGGACAAUUGUUCAGUUAUUUACUGGUAAAGUAUUAGGUUGUCCCAAAAGUUUCUUCCGUGACUUGCACUCAGUUAUUUUGUGCGGCAAUGUUUAUAUAAAUAGACAACCUGAUUUCUUAGAUGUUAAUGUUGUAACAGCAGUGGAGCAAAAUGAAUCGUAAGCAAUUCAAUAACGUAACAUUAGACAUAAAAUAUUGUGUAUGCAUUACUUAUUAAUGAAAUGGAAGAAACUUUUAGGACAACCUAAUAUUUGGCUAAUUAAUCGGCAAAAUAUAUUUCUACAAGACAAUUAAUCAAAUAUUUUGUUUUACAAUCGUUACGAUUAAGAUUAUUAUUUCAAUUUAAAUUAAUUUUUGAAAUAAUGAAAUUAAAAGUGUUAUAUUACAAAAUACUGUUUAAAAUUUAUGCACCCCACGUCAUACUUCUCACUAAAGACAUUUAUUAUGGAGCCACUAGAUAGUAUUAAAAACUUUUAUGGUUAAUUGUCCGAUAAUUUACCAGCUGUGAGUUGGUAAAAUAAGAAAAAUAUAUUUUAUCGGGAAAAUGGAAUCACUAGUACAUAUGUAUAGUCUUAGGUCUAUGAGAUAAUCAUGCCUCUCACAAUUAAACAGGAUUUUACUCAGAAGUAGGUAAUCCAACCGGAAUAAUUCAUUGUUUUUCGUUUGUAAUCUCAUGUUGUAUUAAUAGUCGUAUACUUCUAAAAUACAGGUGUUCCAUAAAAAUGACUAUAUGUAUAAUUAACUACGUCAAACGCACAGCGUACGUGCACACGUGAGAUCGAUGCAGAUUGCUUUCCAGAGGGCCAGAAAUAGGCAAUAUUCUCAUCUGAAUAAAAGUGCCGGAUAACGAAUUAACAAAAAAAGUAACAUUUUAUUGAUUACUAGAAUUAUAAAAUAAGAGUUUCUAUUGCAAGAUUAAAUAUUUUACCGAUGAUCGAAUAAGAAGUUAAAUAAAACACGAAAAAGAACAAAAUCUCGAACUUCUUUGAUAAUAAAGAGCUACGAAUAAAAAAUUGAUGAAUGAAAAGACAAACAGGCAAACAUAAAAAGAAUUGAAAAGUCGACAAAUUAAAAAAUAGAUGAAACUAAAGCAUCGUCAAGCCAAAACAAAAAAUUAAAAGAAAGUCAAAAAUCAGUAAAACUGAAAUUUAACUCCUCGAUUAGAUAAACAUCACGAAAAGAUCGUACGUUGGUUUUACGCGUGACUGGUAAUAUGAAUAAACUUUGCCUAUCUCUGCAAGAGAUAUUCCCUUUCUCUUAGACGAGAGACACUCUUGUUUAUCUAACACGGAAAAAUUGAUGAUAAUUCGUGAAAAUUUUCCAUGGUGCACGACGCUCGAUGCUGCAUAGUCGAUUCAUUAUCUGUUUUUCUUUCGAGAUGAACUUGAGGUACGUUACUUACGUAAUUAGCUACUCUACUGUGACGAAUAGAGCUAUUGUAGAAUACUGUAUCUCCCGAUUCGGCGUCUGGUAAUACCCCGUUACGUCAAUAACGAAUAAACUUAUUCAAGAUAUAAGAGGCCACAAAUGUCGGUUUCCAUUGGAAUAUAUUUACUCGUUUUCGAAUUUGAGCACGGGUUACCUGUUUAUCAACAGUAGUGUACGUGUACAUAAGUUGUAUGACAGAGAUGCUUAAAUUUCUUAUGUAUACAAGAACAUUGUAGGUAACGAAUAUAAAAUAAAUAAUCAUUUGUUGAAUAAAAAUUACAAUUUGAUUGAUAAACAAAAAUUAUAUACUGCGUUAAACGUUUAAAAGCUAAACGGUAAGCAAGACUUAAUGGUACUUUAACCAAGUACCAUUUGGUACCAUUGUCAGAAGAUGAUAAGUAGCAACUGUAACCAACAAUGGGUGCUUUCCAAUUCCUGAACAAAUACGAAAGUGUGAUAAAGUAUAAAGCGCGAUCCGGGCUGGUAUUUUUUCGUCUUUGAAAGGCAAACUUCAGAUUUAUUCGAAGCCUAGAAUUUUGCCCAUCACUGAUUGGAAAGCACCCAGUUGCUUUUUACUUUUCUCUGACAUUGUCUUUCAUGCCGAAUUGUGACACAUUAUACGUGUUAUUUUUAAUAUUAUAUCUGAGAGAAACAAAUAAUUAAAUAAUGUAGGUAGGUUUUGCUACAAAAAUCUCACAAACAACUGUUACGAUUACAUGAAAUAUGCCUUAAUAACACUUGCCUUUUCACGAGGUUGAAUACUAAAAAGCUAAGAAAUACGCUGAUCAGGAACUACAAUAGUGCUGAUGGUAGACAGUAGAUUAGAAAAUACUUUGUUCCAAUUGAAUCAUGCACAACGCUACACUUUUUGCAAUCCUGUGUACAAAAUUGUCAAGAUUGGAAAGCACCCAAUGAUACAAGUUAAAGCACUCAACCACAGCCACCUAUAGUACUAGCCGUACUGAUGGUAAAUCUGGCAAUAACGCAGGAAUUCAAGCAACAAAAACUGCUAAAUGGUAAAAAAGAAGACAAUAAUUUUUAGUGCCCCGAAGGAAAGUUUAACCAUUGCAACUGUGGUGUUGCUAAAUUAUUCAGAACGGCUAGUACAACAGGUGGCUGUGACUUAACUGUGCC
Long non-coding RNA from Hylaeus volcanicus, 5280 nucleotides. RefSeq lists it as uncharacterized. The transcript has 3 exons. The record is from RefSeq and is a predicted model, not a curated record. Lineage: Eukaryota; Metazoa; Arthropoda; Insecta; Hymenoptera; Colletidae.